RNAcentral lists this ribosomal RNA (505 nucleotides) under uncultured bacterium. RNAcentral describes it as "partial 16S ribosomal RNA". It matches the Rfam family "Bacterial small subunit ribosomal RNA", at positions 28 to 507 of the family's 1533-position model. The record is from RNAcentral.
GACGAACGCUGGCGGCGUGCCUAAUACAUGCAAGUAGAACGCACAGUUUAUACCGUAGCUUGCUACACCAUACACUGUGAGUUGCGAACGGGAGAGUAACGCGUAGGUAACCUGCCUGGCAGCGGGGGAUAACUAUUGGAAACGAUAGCUAAUACCGCAUAAUAUUGAUUAUUGCAUGAAAAUUGAUUUAAAAAUUCUAUCGCAUCACUACUAGAUGGACCUGAGUUGUAUUACCUAGUAGGGCAGGUAACGGUUCACCUAGGCGGAGGUACAUAGCCGAGCCGGGGGGGUGGUCGGCCAACCCGGGACUGAGACACGGCCCAGACUUCUACGGGGAGGAGCAGGAGGGGAUCUUCGGACAUUGGCGGAAGUCUGAACGCAGAACGCCGGGUGGGUGGAGGAGGGUUUCGGAUCGUAAAGGUCUGUUGUGAGGGAAGAAAGGGCAUGAGGGUGGAAAGUUCACACUGUGACGGUAUCUAAACAGAAAGCGACGGCUAACUACGUG